GGGAUUUUUUGCCCUGAGACACCAGCCAGUCGCUCAUGUGCUCCGUGGUGACAUGGUGCGGGACCUGGCCUUGACUCUGGAGCAGCAGAUAGUGGACCAUGAGCUUCUUCUGCAAGAUGAGGCCUGCAGAGUCUGGAAAUAAAGGCUGCUUCUGCAGAAUUCCUUUGAAGAGAAUGACAAUAAUGAUGCUUUGUUAUGCACAUUGUGCACAGGCAUUUACAGUAUGCUAAAAUGAAUAUCUCCAAAGAUUACCUUUGUGGGACCAUAAGUGAACUCCGGAAUGCACCAAACCCUAUCCAUGGUAAGAUGGGGUAGAAACGCAGCGCUAUAGAUAUACGAGAUGCUCUAGAGAUAACAGGAAUAAGUUAAUGUCGCGAAUGAUCAAUUACUGUGGAGUCGUCCAAUAUGCUGCACUUAGAAUUGAGUUGUAGGCAAUGUUUGGCACGAAAUAGAAUGUUUACAUUCUAUUGCUAUGGAGAAAUGGAAUGUGUAGAACCUUUAUAAAUGGGUCUGCUUCUAUGUCUUUAUGUCGUGAAGAUUAAGCUCUUUAUUGUGUCAUAAUGUGUAUAUUGUAAUUUGUAUAUUGGAUUGGAACCUAUUUCGAUUCAUGACGCGAGUAUCCAGCUACAUGUUGCUUAGACCUACUAAUCCAACCUUGGUUUACAAGUGAAAUUAAUUGUUUACCAAUGCCUAUACAAAUAUAUUAACCGUAACUAUUUAAAGGAAGGAUUGUCAAUUGAAAAUGUGGUUGUUGUGUUACCCUGUUGUGUCAGUCCUCUUAAGCACGUUAUUCCAAUAUUUCAGAGCUCUGAAUUGAGAUAAGGUUCACUUGCAACGCUAAUUGGUUAAAAAUAAGAGUAUCAAUGACACUAAACGUAUGACUUGGAUGUAAUGCAUAAUAGUUUAGUAAAAAAGUAUCGCUCAGCGUGGGAACUUUUGCUGGGUGGGGGAAGUAUACUAUAAAUGUCUCCAUGUCGCGUAUGGACCAUCACUUCGUUGUCUUGUUGGUAAUAUAAAAAUGCAUGACAGUCCGCAUUGUAAUAGUCUAACAGUUGUUUUUCAUUUUGUUUCUCACAUUAAACAGACAUUUGAAAACGGAA
Oncorhynchus keta (chum salmon) is the source of this 1100-nucleotide long non-coding RNA. RefSeq lists it as uncharacterized. The transcript is spliced from 2 exons. The record is from RefSeq and is a predicted model, not a curated record. NCBI's taxonomy places the organism in Eukaryota, Metazoa, Chordata, Actinopteri, Salmoniformes, Salmonidae.